Molecule: long non-coding RNA, 1288 nt
Organism: Tachysurus fulvidraco (yellow catfish)
Lineage: Eukaryota; Metazoa; Chordata; Actinopteri; Siluriformes; Bagridae
Exons: 5
Source: RefSeq, a predicted model, not a curated record
UAUAACAUCACACACGCUCAUCCUGACCAAACGCACGUAAGAAGAAAGAUGCGCACACUCGCACCCUGAGCGGAGACGUGCGCCUGAGUGGAAACGCGCGUGAGAAAAAAGAAAAAAGGAGCAAACGCCUGAGCGUACACGCCCACACACGUGUUGGUAAAAAGUGAGAAUUUUCCGAAAAUUUGGCUAUGACUUCGCGUCUUUGGAUUUUCCACAACAGAACAGAACAUCUACGAUCUUCUAAGCAUUGAGAGCACGGCCUUUUCAAUAGAACAAGACCAGCCUAUCUGACGCAAUUGUCUGUGAAAACGUAUCAAACAAACGCGACCCUUCCAGGACAGUUGUAUUGAGAUUAUUUCCGGCGACGAGUCUUCUACAACGCACGUGCUAGGCCUAAGAACGGGGGAACAUCCGGGGUCUAUCCAAAAGUCGAUAGCUGUAGUAACCCCCACAGCUCAGACCAGUUUCUCAAACUACGGAAGACACCGGAACAACGUCUGACUACUCUGACUCCGAUAGUUCAGAUUUUUUGGAUACCGUCAUUGAAGGAGUAAGAAACUACAAUCAAUCCCUUGAAGAAAAUUUCAACAUUGGAGACACUCUUCAGGAUUUUUUUCAGCUAAGGGAUAGAAUAACUGAAAAUGUUGAGCAUGUCUACAGUGAGUAUGUUCAAUCCUUGCAUAAUACUCUGGAAUCCUUAAAUUGGUGUGUUAUGGUGAAUAAAGAAUUGUUAAGACAAUAUUAUUUUAGAAAUGGCUCAGAAGCGUUCGAGUAAUUCUCCCUCUUCAGAAGCUAAAAAAAUUAGAAUUGAAAAUGACCCUACAUCAUCACAUGAUCUCUGCUUUGGUGAAACUUCGACUUUUUCAAGUAGUCUGUCCCUUUUUGACCCGUACACAACCCUGAAUCCCUUUUUAACCGAUGCAAUCAAUGAGUUGAAUGAUGGUUUAAGAUCGACACUUAGACACGAUAUUCAGAGCCCUAAUCCGGGGUUGACCGAUAGUUUAACAGCGACACAAUCACAGCUGCCUCAUCAUGACGUGUUCUUAGAGUUGAAUCAGAGUCUGUUAACAUUGCAUAUUCAAAUAAAGAAAGUAAAAUAAAUCACACAACUAACAUUACCUGAGCUUAUAACUCCACAAUGCGCUUAUAUACAUCAAUAUCAAGAAAAUGACCAUUUUACAUGACAGUACAUGCCUUCUAACAAAUAACCAACAUUCUGAAAGCAUUAUGAUUCAUUUAAAAAGCAUUAUUAUGAACUCAUGGGACUUUAAACUGGAAUGUAAGGCAC